AAUGGAGAAAAACAUAGAUUAACCAGCACAUCGAUUGGACCACAUUUAAAGCUUGUUUAUUGAUACAAAGCAAAACAAUAAAACUAACA
This is a long non-coding RNA of Octopus sinensis (East Asian common octopus), 89 nucleotides long. RefSeq lists it as uncharacterized. The transcript has 3 exons. NCBI's taxonomy places the organism in Eukaryota, Metazoa, Mollusca, Cephalopoda, Octopoda, Octopodidae. The record is from RefSeq and is a predicted model, not a curated record.